This 361-nucleotide transfer RNA is filed under the name uncultured Microcystis sp. RNAcentral's name for it is "partial 16S-23S ribosomal RNA intergenic spacer". The stretch from base 136 to 209 matches the Rfam family "tRNA". The record is from RNAcentral. Lineage: Bacteria; Bacillati; Cyanobacteriota; Cyanophyceae; Chroococcales; Microcystaceae.
AAAGGGAGACCUAAUUCAGGUAGGAGACGAAAAAAAAGUAGUCGCUACCAAGAAUCAAUCCCAAAAGGUCGGAGCGAGGCGAAAUUGGCUUUCAAACUAGGUUCUGGGUUCAAACAAGACCUGAAUCAGGAACAAGGGCUAUUAGCUCAGGUGGUUAGAGCGCACCCCUGAUAAGGGUGAGGUCCCUGGUUCGAGUCCAGGAUGGCCCACCUGCACAGGUGGCAAAAACAAGAGAAGCGAGGAAUCAGCACCUUAUCUUACUUAUAUAGUAAGAGAGAAUGCUGGCUCUGAGUAAAGAGUCCAGUGGAACCUUGAAAACUGCAUAGAGCUAGGUGAAAAAGCCAAAAAAGAAGACCGCAAG